ACAGAGUUGACUUCAGGCAAGUAGACGGUCGUGUCGGAAGGGUUUUUGUUUCAGAAAGGAGGCCAGCGACGAACAGCAUGUCUCAGAGAUCGGUACUGGAUGCAUUGUUGUUCGUGGUUAAUAUCAAUGAUUUGGUUG
Molecule: long non-coding RNA, 138 nt
Organism: Amblyraja radiata (thorny skate)
Lineage: Eukaryota; Metazoa; Chordata; Chondrichthyes; Rajiformes; Rajidae
Exons: 3
Source: RefSeq, a predicted model, not a curated record